GACGGCGAUAUUAAUUUUAAAUGGGAUGAUUUAGGAUUUGGGGUUGAAUUUAUAAUCAAAUUUAGGAUGGGUUCGGAUGAUAAAAUUUUAAACAGAUUCAGAUUUGAGUAGGAUAAAUUUUUCUAGUACCCUCUCCGUUGCCAUCCCUAACUGGGAACGUUUGUGUCAUUGAAUUCUUGGUACCAGAGCUUUCUUUAAAAUAAAUGAAAAGAGGAGAGUGGGGCCCACUUGGUGGGCCAUUGUUCGGCCCC
This 251-nucleotide long non-coding RNA is filed under the name Elaeis guineensis (African oil palm). Its description in RNAcentral is "long non-coding RNA (EGUI_LNC029016)". The record is from RNAcentral. Lineage: Eukaryota; Viridiplantae; Streptophyta; Magnoliopsida; Arecales; Arecaceae.